This 73-nucleotide transfer RNA is filed under the name Oreochromis niloticus (Nile tilapia). RNAcentral describes it as "tRNA-Arg (TCT) (tRNA-Arg-TCT-17-1)". It matches the Rfam family "tRNA". Rfam says of the family: Transfer RNA (tRNA) molecules are approximately 80 nucleotides in length. Their secondary structure includes four short double-helical elements and three loops (D, anti-codon, and T loops). The record is from RNAcentral. Lineage: Eukaryota; Metazoa; Chordata; Actinopteri; Cichliformes; Cichlidae.
GGCUCUGUGGUGCAAUGGACAGCACGUUGGACUUCUAAUUCAAAGGUUUUGGGUUCGAGUCCCACCAGGGUCA